UUAGCAACUCAACAAAAAACAACAGCAUACAUCAACUCAACAUACAUUUUUAAAAAAAAUCUAAAGUGAUAUUGGGUUGAUACUAUAAAAUGAAUUGACGAUUCAAAUUGAAUUUUAACAUUUUUCAUAAAUGAGUUACUUGAUUAUUUCAAAAAUCAAAUUUAUGAUUUUAGUACAAUAAACUAAAAACUAAGUUCAAUAUCUAACAAAGUGGGUGGGCAUUAAGAACCCAACAGAAUUAAUUCGAUCUUAAUUUACAAUCGUAGGUUUAAUACCUAUUUACUUUUCUAGGAUCUUCCCAAAAAAGAAUAAAAAUAAAGUCGAUUUAAAUAAAAAAACUUCUCUGAUAUCAAUAUUCAUAACGCAGCAUCAUUUGCCCCAUGUCAAGUGGCUAUCUCCUUGUGCCUUUCGGUGUACUUUACCUCUCUUUAGCAUAUCAGAGAGUAUCGGAAGGGAUGAUAGUUUGAGAAGACAAAUUCCAAUUUGCUGGUUGAAUCGGAUGCUAAUUUUUAUAGUGGGAAUCGUCAUUUCUGGUCAAAAGGAUCAAAUUGGUGUUUCAAUAAAGAAACGGAAGCAAUUACAAGAGACGAGUAUAAAACUAGCAGCGCCCGCGCCCGCAUUUUAUGAUGGAACUGGAAAUAUCUAGGUCCAAAUUCGUCUUUCUGCAGCAGAAAUUAGAGCUUGAACCUUAUGUCAGUGUUGAAUUUUUCAGAAGAUGAUAACACCGGUUCCUGCAAGGUUUAUGAGAGUAUCGUGCUUUUAAAUACUAGAGGUAUAUGCAUUUACUGUACUAAAUAAAAACAUUCUGUGUAACACUCAGGAGAUACAACACAAGUUUUUCCAAUUUCUAGACAUUUGCCUGAAAACUUUUAGUUCA
Molecule: long non-coding RNA, 877 nt
Organism: Solanum lycopersicum (tomato)
Lineage: Eukaryota; Viridiplantae; Streptophyta; Magnoliopsida; Solanales; Solanaceae
Source: RefSeq, a predicted model, not a curated record